Molecule: unclassified non-coding RNA, 429 nt
Filed under: soil metagenome
Description: partial contains 5.8S ribosomal RNA, internal transcribed spacer 2, and large subunit ribosomal RNA
Rfam family: 5.8S ribosomal RNA (bases 5-119)
Source: RNAcentral
GAUGAGAACGUAGUGAAAUGCGAUACGUAAUGUGAAUUGCAGAAUUCAGUGAAUCAUCGAAUCUUUGAACGCAUAUUGCGCUCUCUGGUAUUCCGGAGAGCAUGCUUGUUUGAGUAUCAGUAAACACCUCAACUCCCUUUUCUUUUUUGAAAUUGGAGCUGGACUUGAGUGAUCCCAACGCUUUCUUCCAAGAAAGUGGCGGGUUGCUUGAAAUGCAGGUGCAGCUGAACUUUUCUCUGAGCUAUAAGCAUAUCUAUUUAGUCUGCCUAAAAAACAGAUUAUUACCUUUGCUGCAGCUAACAUAAAGGAGACUAGUUCUUGUGCUGACUGAUGCAGGAUUCACAGAGACAGCUUCGGCUGACUUUGUAAACUCGAUCUCAAAUCAAGUAAGACUACCCGCUGAACUUAAGCAUAUCAAUAAGCGGAGGA